This 1097-nucleotide long non-coding RNA is filed under the name Canis lupus dingo (dingo). RNAcentral's name for it is "lncRNA (ENSCAFG00020016635.1)". Lineage: Eukaryota; Metazoa; Chordata; Mammalia; Carnivora; Canidae. The record is from RNAcentral.
CAAAGAUAUGGACACACACACACACACACACACACACACGCAGGUACAGGAAAUACGGCCAGUCUAGAGCCUUUUCGGACCCAAGCUGACCGGAAGAUGUUGCCUUUCAUUCAUUCAUCCUGCCCGCGUCUGUGGAGUCCUUUACUAGGCGACAAGCCCUGGAACAGAAGUUGGACAGUUUUUAAAGGUCCCUGCGCUCGCCAAGAGAAGGAAAUAGAUGCUCAGGAGUGAAAUACCGAGAGAAUCGGAUCUGGCGCCUCCUAACGCAGCUGGCAAGCAGGCGAAGGAACUUAACUCACCUACCAGACUAUAUAUAACUCAGAGUCUGAUUGGCACUGUGUCUCUACAAUCAACCUUCUGGAAAUAUCUGUGAAAUGAAUGAAGGAACCUGAGAAAAUGAAGUAUUGGAAUGAUGAGCCAGGGGAAGGGGACCAGGGAUGGCUGCAAAGGUUUCCUAGAAGGGGCCAUCUGAUACAAUGUGAACAUUUGGAAUUAGCCCUUAGACCACUCACUCUGAGUGUCUGCCAAUAGCAUGGCACUGUAGGCACCUUGGAAUGCCAGUUGGGACAUCCAGUCCAAAAUAAGAUUGUCCCACCUGCCCAGACCUGACAAAUACACUUCUCAAGGACAGAUAAUUGGUGAAGGGGCAGGAAGCCUUAGAAAUGGGUAACCACUUCCUGAUAUAUAUCCUGCUGAUAGAUACAAAAACAAACAUGCAAUCCAUGGUAGCCCUGUUUGCAACAGAAAAAGACUGAAACUAUCUAAAAGUUGGAGAACUGAUUAAAAAUAAUUUUUGGACCAUUUGCUCAUUGAAACGUUAUUAAAUCAUCAAGAAGAAGAAUAUGGUAAUUGUAUAAAUAAUGAAGCAGGAUGAUUUCAUGAUAUCCUUAAAUUAACACAAAACAGAACAAGAUGUAGAAUAUUUAUACUAAAUUGUGCUGACCAGGGCAGCCUCGUUGGCUCAGUGGUUUAAGCACCCAGGGCGUGAUCCUGGAGUCCCUGGAUCGAGUCCCACGUCGGGCUCCCUGCAUGGAGCCCGCUUCUCCCUCUGCCUGUGUCUCUGCCUCCCUCUCUCUCUCUCUCUGUGUCUAUCAUGA